GCCGGGCAUGGUGGCUCAUGCCUGUAAUCCCAGCACUUUGGGGGGCCGAGGUGGGUGGAUCACCUGAGGUCAGGAGUUCAAGACCAGCCUGGCCAACAUGGUGAAACCCCAUCUCAA
Molecule: non-coding RNA, 117 nt
Organism: Gorilla gorilla gorilla (western lowland gorilla)
Lineage: Eukaryota; Metazoa; Chordata; Mammalia; Primates; Hominidae
Rfam family: Metazoan signal recognition particle RNA
About the family: The signal recognition particle (SRP) is a universally conserved ribonucleoprotein.
Source: Rfam